This 347-nucleotide ribosomal RNA is filed under the name Didymozoidae sp. SC-2016. RNAcentral's name for it is "SSU rRNA". It matches the Rfam family "Eukaryotic small subunit ribosomal RNA", at positions 1 to 344 of the family's 1831-position model. The record is from RNAcentral. Lineage: Eukaryota; Metazoa; Platyhelminthes; Trematoda; Azygiida; Didymozoidae.
AACCUGGUUGAUCCUGCCAGUAGUCAUAUGCUUGUCUCAGAGAUUAAGCCAUGCAUGUCUAAGUACAGACCUUCAUACGGUGAAACCGCGAAUGGCUCAUUAAACCAGCUAUGGUUCCUUUGAUCAUACAUACUACAUGGAUAACUGUAGUAAUUCUAGAGCUAAUACAUGCCACUAUGCCCUGACCCUUCCGGGAACGGGUGGAUUUAUUAGAACAGAACCAAUACAGCUCCGGCUGUUUAUUCUGUGAUGACUCUGGAUAACUUAACUGAUCGCAGUCGGCCUUGUGUCGGCGACGGAUCUUUCAAAUGGCUGCCCUAUCAAUUGUCGAUGGUAGGUGGACCUGC